CCCAAAUCUUUUCCCAUUUCAUCACUUUCUCUGCUUUCAUUUUUUCUUUCUCUCUCUCUUCUCUUUCAAUCUGUCGUGACUUCUUCCUCUCCCUCAACCUUCCCCUCUUUGUCUCUUUCUUCUUCUUUCUCUCUCCGAGUCUUCUUUCUCUCUCAGUGCGACAUCUUAUACUUUCUGCUUUCUUCCUCUUCCUUUCCCUUUUUCUUCAUCAUCUUCUUCAUUUCCCAAAACGAAACCGACACGGUUAUCAGUUUUUUUGGAUUUCUGUUUAAAGUUACUAUUUAAAUAUUGUGGUUAGUGUUUUUGUGGUUUAUAUGAUGAUUUUGUGGUUUAUAUGAUGAUUUUGUGGUUACGGUUUUUGUGAUUGUGGUUGAUAUCAUGAUUUUGUGGUUAGGAUUUUGAUGCUGCUAUUGGCCAAAUGGGGGUAUGUUGUACUUUUCAUCUUUCUAACAAAAAUAUGAAUAAUAUUUUCACCAGUUGCUUUUAACAUCCAGAUCUGUGGUGGCAACAACAGGUUACCGGCGAUUAGUGUGGUGGUGGUGGUGUAAACGGGUUUCUGCCGACGAGUGUGGUGGUGGCCGAAAUCAGAAAGAGAUGAAUGGUUGAAGCAGCUGUUGCAGAACAAUCCAUUGUACAUAUAGAACUUCGUCCAUUGCUCGCUUGAUGUGGUUGAUGACUGAGAUUGCAGAAAAACAAAACUUCUUAAUAUUCGAGGAUCGUAAGUGUGCCGACAUUGGUAACACCAUGACCAUGCAGUAUGAAAGGUAAUACAUUACUGGAAAGUUUUAUAAUUUUUGAAAUAACUGACCAUGCGAUUGUUGUUGCUGUUGCAAAAUAUCCGAAGGAGUUUAAUUUGAGGAAUGUGAUAAAGUUGAAACGCUGGUUUCUUAAGGUUUGAAUUGAAUAUUUCGUUGUUCAUUUGGGGUAAUUAAGUUUUGUUUUUUUAAGAAUGUCAUCUAAUAAUCAGAAAUGGUUUUUUUUCACUAAACUGAGAUUGGAUAGGGGAAGGUAUAUAUAGAAAUGAUUGAUAAAUAAUUUAAAUUAUAUGUUACUGAUACUUUUAAUAUUGGUGUUGAUGUCAAUAGGGGAAGUUUGAGGAAGAGGAAGAAGACACUGUUGGUGAGAUGGUGUUAUCAGUUAUAAUACCAUAAGCAGUUCUUAUAGUGUCAUCAAUAGUUUUGUGUUAGUUUUAACAUGAUUAUAUACUACUGUGUUAUAACUUGUGCUGAUUAUUGUCAUUAUUUGGACUAUUUGAACUCACAAGGAGUGGGAGUUCUACUGAGUCUUUCAAGUCCGAAGGAAUUGUUUUAUCAUGUUUUGAUGCUCCUAAAGGAAAUGCGAACAAAGAUUGUCAGGAAGCUUCUGCUUGCCGAAGUAAAACAGAUAUAGACAAUCACUUACUUUUAGGAAAAGAUCAUGAAAGUAAGAGUGUGCCAUAUGAGUUGUACAAAAAGCACACAACUGUAUUUGUUAAGAGAGAAACUUUUCUAGAUAUUGUCUAUGAUGUUCUUACUGACUACAAGUAUGUGGGUCCAAACCAGAGCGCCGACUUGAUGCUAGCUUGCAGCUUUUAAGAGAGUUUCACGACUCUAACUGAUGCCUUUAAGCUUGCAAAUUAAUUCUCAUCAUCUAAAUGUAGCUUCUCAAGAUUCCUGCCCUCCAAAAUUGGUUGUGUUGUGUUUAGAUCACCUAGCUUGUAUACAUGCUAAAACUCUUUUACAUCUAAAUGCAACUUCUUAAGAGUCGAGAUACAUAUUUACAUGGUAGUUAUACAGAUUUGAUCUGAUACAACCAAGUUUGUACCUGUUAGAACUGGCUCUAGAACUAUCCUCUCAUUUGUUGUAUAUUAGCUAGAGUACAUGCAAUCUAAAUCUAAAAGUCAUGUCAA
This is a long non-coding RNA of Vicia villosa (hairy vetch), 1888 nucleotides long. RefSeq lists it as uncharacterized. The transcript is spliced from 4 exons. NCBI's taxonomy places the organism in Eukaryota, Viridiplantae, Streptophyta, Magnoliopsida, Fabales, Fabaceae. The record is from RefSeq and is a predicted model, not a curated record.